Non-coding RNA from Dermatophagoides farinae (American house dust mite), 532 nucleotides. The record is from RefSeq and is a predicted model, not a curated record. Lineage: Eukaryota; Metazoa; Arthropoda; Arachnida; Sarcoptiformes; Pyroglyphidae.
CUGCCGGUUAAUCGAAAUUUUUCCGGAGUGGCUCACUGAUCCACCUGAGAUAUUUUAUUUUUAUGAUCUCGUGAGAAGGAUGAUCGUCUUAAUAUUUACAGAACCGACAGAAUCCGAAUUGAAAGAGCUCCAGACGCUGGUCAAAUCAUUCAAACAGGAAAUCAGAAAAUACGAUUUAAUCACACCCAAAACGCAUUUCCUCUCCCAUUAUCCCUCCCUUAUAGAAUUUUAUGGGUGUUUAACUAUUUUCUCUACAAUGGCCUGGGAGAGAAAACAUCGCAUGUUAAAAGUGUUAAUGCAACACAGCAAAAAUUUCAAAAAUGUUGCUAAAACUUUGAUGAUUUUACACAAAGCCAAACUGGCAUGCGAAUCGAUAUCCAAACCUAAUGAAUGGCCAUUGGAUAAAAAUAUUGUCCGACAAAUAAAUGAUGAAAAAUCAAAUUUCAUCCUGGCCAAGUGUUUUAUUAAAAUUGGCAAUAAAAUAAUGUCAAUAGGUGGCGCCAUAGGUCAUGGAAUUUGAAAUUUAAAAAAA